UAAAAAAAUUCAAAAGUGUUGACAUUUGAAUUAUUAUUUUUACCUCAGAGCUCAUCCACUUGUUUGACACUUUUCUACUGCAAAUAAUGAGAAGAUAAGGUGAAUCACGUCCGUGCAGCACAAGAAUGUUCAUGCGGCAAUAGUUUUACUAAGUCGCUGAUUCUUCCAUCUCAACGUACAUGUUCCAACUUGAUAUGCAACCACAACUGGUAGUCAGGAUCCCACCAGCUACUUCUCCAACUCCAUCACCUGCCGACGCAUCUAUCACCACACCAGCAUGUGUUCGUGGAAGGCGGACCGCAGCUGUAGCAGCCGCUGUCCGACUGAUGGCCCUUCCUUGCCCAGUCCUAGCCUCCUGAGAAAGGGCUUGUUUCCAUCCUCCUAUUGCUCUGCGCUACUCUCGCGCGACUACUUGUGGUACCCGACGUUGUGUUUGUGGAAGGGUCUUCAUCCGAGCUAUUGGCAUUCAAAAUCCCAUUGGAACCGGUGGCGCUGUGGCAGGAGCGCAUGAGAUUAUGCUGCUUGACGUCAACGAUGACAGAGCACGCUUAACUGAGUCUCAUUCGUGUCGAGGGUUAGGCGAUAUUGGUUUGCAUGAUCGUUCAGGUGGAAGGAGCUAGUGGCAAGGCAGAGGGUGUUGUCGUCAAGAGCAAGGUGCAUCGGGAUGGUCGGCCUGACCGUCAUCUCCUUGGUCACGAUGUGGCCUAUUUCCAUUGUGCUUUUCGGGGCUUUGUUGUCCUUACCUUGUUACAGCGGGCUUUAGAGCAUUUUAAUCGGAAGAUGAUACUUCUUCGACGUGGAUGGCGCUAUCUGUCCCUAAUAAUAAAACACGUAUCGCUUCUCUCGUACGUCGUUGGCACUUUUACACAAAAGCCCCUCCAUUAUUGGGUAUUCAACCCACAGUCUGUGUGUAAGUCACGAGAACAUGAGGGUUCUUCCGCGGCGGCCUCUAUCGCAGGACCGACUCGGCGCGCCCCCCUCCCUGACCCUCUCUCCAUUGGGUAAUCAUUGAUCGAUUGUCCCCUCGCUCCAUCCGGCCAAGGUUUCUCCCGCCGGCGAGGAGCGCGCACACCGAAUCUGGUCCGGGGGGCCCAGUUUGCUCCGCUCCGGCUCGGUGUGUUGGUGGAUUCGGUUCUAGGGGAUGGAGCGGCAGCGGUGGCUGCAGGCCGCGGUUGUCAUGUCCUUGCUGCUGCUUUGCUCCGGGAGAGGUGGUAGGAUUCGGAGGCCAUGUCGUUGGGCACCGUGCUGGUCGCCAUAGCGGCGUCCAUCGGGAACCUGCGGCAGGGGUGGGAUAAUGCGACCAUUGCAGGUAAUUCGGUCGUGCCUCCAAAAAAAACAGUCGGCCUUUCGACGCGGUUGGGAAGAUACUCUUUGUGUUGCAGCGCUUCCCAGGGGCCCGUCUUAGGUGACGGCAAUAAUUGGGUAUCUUGCCGGCUCCGAUCAUGACGGAUUUGGCGGAACUGCAUGUAGUAGUAGCAGCAGCGGUUGUAAAAACAGAUAUUCUUUCUUGUUCUACAAUCUUUUUAAGUCGAUCAAGCGGCUGAACCGAAAUCCUCGCAAGAUUUCCGAGUUCUGUGAACGGAUCCGUUUCUUGCGCGAUCUGCGCAUCUGAACCAUGAUAAUUCAGUCCGUGUCGACAUGUUGUGAAUUC
Long non-coding RNA from Hordeum vulgare subsp. vulgare (domesticated barley), 1651 nucleotides. RefSeq lists it as uncharacterized. NCBI's taxonomy places the organism in Eukaryota, Viridiplantae, Streptophyta, Magnoliopsida, Poales, Poaceae. The record is from RefSeq and is a predicted model, not a curated record. The transcript is spliced from 2 exons.